AUUCGGGAUAUGGCUCCCUGGCCAGCUUGUGAAGUUCAAGGGGCUCGUUACUUCUUACAGCUCACAGUCCCUCCCGGGUCCAGCACACCUGAGGGCUGACCUCCCUCUUGAUUAGUGCAGGGGAAAAGCACUUUAAAAAGCUGUGUCAUGCGUAACUUGCACAUCUUCUGAUUCUGACCUGAAACUGCAUCCCAGGUCGGCACAGACGCAACCCAGUCUCCUCCCACCUCCGAGAGUGCAGUGUCCUGAAUGGAGAACCCCAGCACCCAGAAGCAUCCACUGAAGGACUAAAUUCUACACAUGAAGGCAAACGUCCGUGGUUGACAGAAAUUACACUGGCCAGAAUCCCCAGUCCCCAUGAGGCUUGUCCAGACGCAGUGAACCAGUCGCAGCUGAUAACACACAGACCAUUCCCGAUCCCAGAGGUGCAUUUCAGGAUUCAUUCUAUUUCAUCAGGUGACGUUUUAACAGAAACAAAACCGCAGGCAGCGGGUGGGGGGAGCUGGAGGUUGGAAUCACACCAACAUUAUAGCAUUAUUACUCUAAAAAAAAUUACUUUUUUGGCUGGGUGCUGUGGCUCACACCUAUAAUUGGGGGGCCAAGGCAGGUGGAUUACCUGAGGUCGGGAAUUCGAGACCAGCCUGACCAACAUGGAGAAACCCCGUCUCUACUAAAAAUACAAAAUUAGCUGGGCGUGGUGGCACAUGUCUGUAAUCCCAGCUACUCGGGAGGCUGAGGCAGGAGAAUCGCUUGAACCCAGGAGGUGGAGGUUGUGCCAUUGCACUCCAGCCUGGGCAACAAGAGCAAAACUCCGUCUCAAAAAAAAAAAUUUUUUUUUAAGCGACACAGUCUUGCACUGUGGCCGAGGCUGGAGUGCAGUGGCUCAAUCACGGCUCACUGUAACCUUGGACUCAGCUCAAGCAGUCCUCCUGCUUCAGCCUCCCGAGUAGUUGGGACUACAGGUGCGUGCCACCACACUUGGCUAAUUUUUAUGUUUUUUUGGUAGAGACGGGGUCUUCCUGUGUUGCCCAGGCUGGUCUCGAACUCCUGGGCUGAAGCAAUCUUCCUGCCUUGGCCUCCCAGAGGGUUGGAAUUGCAGAUGUGAGGUAAUGUCCAGUUCCUUGCCUUAUUUAUAAAAUGUAAUUUAUUUUUUGAACUUUUUCCUCUUCAGAGCCUUCCAUUCGCCUUCCUGUGUAGCCAGGCUGUUAAAAAGCUGCUUUACUUUCCGCUUUCUUUCCGCAUCCCUAAAAGAAACAAAAGGCAAAUGCCCAUUUUUGGAUUAGUUCUUGGAGAGCAUCUUGCCCUCUCUCUCCCACAUCAGAACCACAUUAGCCACCGUGGCCACGUUCAGUUCAAACAGGGGGAAGUGAACCU
This 1374-nucleotide long non-coding RNA is filed under the name Homo sapiens (human). RNAcentral's name for it is "HSALNT0317862". The record is from RNAcentral. Lineage: Eukaryota; Metazoa; Chordata; Mammalia; Primates; Hominidae.